GUGGCGCACGGGUGAGUAACACGUGGAUAACCUACCCUUGANCGAGGGAUAACACUACCGGAAAGGGGUGCUAAUACCGCAUAAGACCACGGCUCCGAAAGGAGCUGAGGUAAAAGCUGGCCUCUAUAUAUAAGCUAGCACUUGAGGACGGGUCCGCGGCGCAUCAGGUAGUUGGCGGGGUAAUGGCCCACCAAGCCUUAGACGCGUAGCUGGUCUGAGAGGAUGAUCAGGCCACACUGGGACUGAAACACGGCCCAGACUCCUACGGGAGGCAGCAGUUAGGAAUAUUGCGCAAUGGAGGGAACUCUGACGCAGCGACGCCGCGUGAGCGAAGAAGGCCUUAGGGUUGUAAAGCUCUGUUGAAAGGGAAGAAUGCUGACGGAUGAAUAAUUUGGUUAGUUGACGGUACCUUUAAGAAAGCACCGGCUAACUCUGUG
Molecule: ribosomal RNA, 437 nt
Filed under: uncultured bacterium
Lineage: Bacteria
Description: bacterial SSU rRNA
Rfam family: Bacterial small subunit ribosomal RNA
Source: RNAcentral